CCUACGGGUGGCAGCAGUAGGGAAUCUUCCACAAUGGACGAAAGUCUGAUGGAGCAACGCCGCGUGAGUGAAGAAGGGUUUCGGCUCGUAAAGCUCUGUUGGUAGUGGAGAAAGAUAGAGGUCGUAACUGGCCUUUAUUUGACGGGAAUUACUUAGAAAGUCACGGCUCACUACGUGCCAGCAGCCGCGGUAAUACGUAGGUGGCAAGCGUUGGUCGGAUUUAUUGGGCGUAAAGCGAGUGCAGGCGGUUCAAUAAGUCUGAUGGGAAAGCCUUCGGCUCAACCGGAGAAUUGCAUCAGAAACUGGUUAACUUGAGUGCAGAAGAGGAGAGUGGAACUGCAGGUGUAGCGGUGGAAUGCGUAGAUAUAUGGAAGAACACCAGUGGCGAAGGCAGCUUACUGGACUGUAACUGACGCUGAGGCUCGAAAGCGUGGGGAGCAAACAGGAUUAGAUACCCGAGUAGUC
RNAcentral lists this ribosomal RNA (465 nucleotides) under uncultured bacterium. Its description in RNAcentral is "partial 16S ribosomal RNA". It matches the Rfam family "Bacterial small subunit ribosomal RNA", at positions 338 to 795 of the family's 1533-position model. The record is from RNAcentral.